RNAcentral lists this ribosomal RNA (253 nucleotides) under uncultured bacterium. RNAcentral's name for it is "partial 16S ribosomal RNA". It matches the Rfam family "Bacterial small subunit ribosomal RNA", at positions 524 to 776 of the family's 1533-position model. The record is from RNAcentral.
UACAGGGGGGGCAAGCGUUGUUCGGAAUUACUGGGCGUAAAGGGCUCGUAGGCGGCCAACUAAGUCACACGUGAAAUCCCCAGGCUUAACCUGGGAACUGCGUGUGAUACUGGAUGGCUUGAAUCCGGGAGAGGGAUGCGGAAUUCCAGGUGUAGCGGUGAAAUGCGCAGAUAUCAGGAGGAACACCAAUGGCGAAGGCAGCUCGCUGGGACGUGACUGACGCUGAGACGCGAAAGCGUGGGGAGCAAACAGG